RNAcentral lists this ribosomal RNA (403 nucleotides) under uncultured bacterium. RNAcentral's name for it is "partial 16S ribosomal RNA". It matches the Rfam family "Bacterial small subunit ribosomal RNA", at positions 28 to 526 of the family's 1533-position model. The record is from RNAcentral.
GACGAACGCUGGCGGCGUGCCUAAUACAUGCAAGUCGAACGCAGUGGGGACGGGUGAGUAACACGUGGGUAACCUCCCAUCAGAGGGGAUAACACUUGGAAACAGGUGCUAAACCGAUACUGAUGGAUGGACCCGCGGGGCAUUAGCUAGUGGGUGAGGUAACGGCUCACCAAGGCCACGAUGCAUAGCCGACCUGAGAGGGUGACCGGCCACACUGGAACUGAGACACGGUCCAGACUCCUACGGGAGGCAGCAGUAGGGAAUCUUCGGCAAUGGACGCAAGCCUGACCCAGCAACGCCGCGUGAGUGAAGAAGGUUUUCGGGUCGUAAAGCUCUGUUGGCAGGGAGGCGUUACCUAACCAGGAAGCCACGGCUAACUACGUGCCAGCAGCCGCGGUAAUAC